CACGUCAGUGUGAUUUACUGACGUGGAAACAAAUCGCGUCCUAAAGGGUGCGAUUUGUUGCCACAUCAUCAAAUCGCGCUGACGUGG
Molecule: non-coding RNA, 87 nt
Organism: Gossypium hirsutum (cotton)
Lineage: Eukaryota; Viridiplantae; Streptophyta; Magnoliopsida; Malvales; Malvaceae
Source: Rfam